GCGGCGGUGAGGUGGGGGAUGCAUAUCCUUAAUUCUGUCGACGUAUUUACGUAUAUACUUAUUUUCUUGUGUAGGAUCCUUGAGCUCGUAUUUCUGCAUAUAUUUUUUUUCUCUUGUGUUUCGCAGCGCGUGGAUCACGACGAUACAUACUACUGAAUCCGUACGGAUAACUGGGAGCACAAACGAGCCCAUUUUGAGGAUGCAAAGCAUUAAGCAUGCAUCUCCGCAUUUUAGAAACAAUGUGAAAAUCACAGCUGAACGUAUACAACACGUUUCACAUGUCCACUUAGAAAAAAAAACUCACUCCUAUCCAUAACAAAUGUCGGGGAUUCAGUAUAAUUUUAUACGAAAUCUAUUAUGAAUCGGAGGAAGUAGAAAAUAAAGAAACAAAACAAACAUGGAAAGUCAUGUCCUUUUGUACUGUGUACAAAAUCACAUGACGAUCGAGCUGGCUAGCUAAUUUGUUCAUUGCAGCUUCGUGAGAGCAUAAUCUCAACCCCACCUCAUAUGUCCUCUAGCGGCUUUGGAAGGUGCAUUUUUUCCCCCCACGAUCAACUGAUCUGAUUCCAUAUUAUCAAGAUAGCGGCUUUGGAAGGUGCAUGUUAGUUCAACCACGUACGAUAGCAGAUUGCGUUGGUUGCACCUACAACUAACACGUGCAUAUAUCCAUGGCCAUCACACGACGGCC
Molecule: long non-coding RNA, 688 nt
Filed under: Brachypodium distachyon (stiff brome)
Lineage: Eukaryota; Viridiplantae; Streptophyta; Magnoliopsida; Poales; Poaceae
Description: long non-coding RNA (BDIS_LNC001252)
Source: RNAcentral